GAGGGCUUUCUCCACCUGGCAUUGUGUACACCCCUGUCCUUUUGAACAGCACCUGCCGACAGGACUCUCGGACUCUCGUCCCUUUGAAGAAAGCUCCUCUGGAGCUCCCACACUGGCCUGGGCCUCUGUGGCCAGCUGGGUAGUGGAGUUUCCCCCCAGCGCUCGCUGAGCUGUAUCCAGAUUCCACAAAGCAGAGGUAGCCCCAGGGCUCACAACAGGGGGAGUGGUUUAGGGACCCACCCAAUCCUGCAGUCUCCAGCAGCUCCCCUGUGGGGGAUAUUCUUAACCUCGUGGUGGCCAGGAUGUAUCUGUUUCAGGGGACUGGAAUUCUUACCUGUAUGCCAGGAACCAGGAAUCCCAGGCAGAUGAUUGUGUAAGCCCCAACCCUGAUGUCAACCCGGGCACCUUUUGUCUCCUCUGUAUCCUAGCACUUAGCAUCCAUUAUAGCCAUGGCUCAGGGGUGGGGAGAGAAACCUGAAAGGAUGUCAAGACAGAGAGAGGGCUGAGAACCCAUUUGUGGAGUAUCUAUUGGUGGUUACUGGGCAGGUACAGGGGGUUAAGGAAAGAAGUAUCCCCAGACCCACCCACCUGCCAUUUCUGCCUCUGAGGACCAGCCAGGAGCUCCCCCAGGCUUCUGGUGAGCACAGAGGUCACCAGGAAAAGGACAGUAACUUUGGAUAAGCUCCUGGCCAGUGACAUGCUGGGUGAGGAACGGAGGAAUAACAGUGAAUCGCUGAGGACCUUUGGAGCCAGGAGAUUUCUAACGUAUUAUCUCAGUUCAUCUCUGUCACGGUUUUGUGGGGAACAGCUAACUGAUGAGGAAAUGGAGACUCAGGGAAGUUGGCCAUUGUCCUGUCCUCUGCAGGGCGGCUCCAUUAGCCAAGCCCAUGCUGACAAACCACCUAGGAAGUGCAAGUGCCCAAGCCCUGUGUCCCUUAAUAUGACAUUCCUUACCUCCAGAUCACAGGCAAGAUGGGGUCCCACAGACAGGAGGGUUCAGAAAUGAUGAUGGUCUUAUGUGCUAGGUGGACAGCUUUUACCCAAAGUCUGGAUCUGUCUAGAAGGAGGUUGCUCAGAAAAGGGCUCACAGGGUCUGAGCCCCAGGCUGGGUGUUGUUCACACUCAGAUAUCUGUAAGACAAUGGUGCAGGUGGAAGGGACCACAGCCUGAAGUCUUCCAACAGCCCCACAGGGAUGGCCCCUGACAGUGUCAGCAUCAGUAUCUGGGGGCUUUGAGAUGUAAGUUGUACAGCUGAGGCCAAGGAGGUGGAAUGGAGAUUGUGUUGGGGACAGCUGUGAGAAGCAGGCUGGACAGAAAGAUUAUAAAUGGUGGUGGAAAGUGAGAUGCAGUCCAUGGAGAAAGGCCAAAGAAAUCAGAAAACAACUGUUAGAAUUCUCAUGACUAUUGGCCAUGAGGCUAGGUGGCUUGGUGUCAGGAUUCUAGCUGUACUACUCAGUGGC
This 1460-nucleotide long non-coding RNA is filed under the name Marmota monax (woodchuck). Lineage: Eukaryota; Metazoa; Chordata; Mammalia; Rodentia; Sciuridae. The record is from RNAcentral.